AUUGAACGCUGGCGGCAUGCCUAACACAUGCAAGUCGAGCGGUAACGCGAGGAGCUUGCUCCUUGGCGACGAGUGGCGGACGGGUGAGUAAUGCUUGGGAAUCUACCCAGUAGUGGGGGACAACAUUCGGAAACGGAUGCUAAUACCGCAUACGCACUACGGUGGAAAGCGGGGGAUCUUCGGACCUCGCGCUAUUGGAUGAGCCCAAGUCGGAUUAGCUUGUUGGUAGGGUAAUUGCCUACCAAGGCGACGAUCCGUAGCUGGUCUGAGAGGACGAUCAGCCACACUGGGACUGAGACACGGCCCAGACUCCUACGGGAGGCAGCAGUGGGGAAUAUUGGACAAUGGGCGCAAGCCUGAUCCAGCAAUGCCGCGUGUGUGAAGAAGGCCUGCGGGUUGUAAAGCACUUUCAGUAGAGAAGAAAAGCCUAGGGUUAAUACCCCUGAGUCUUGACGUAACCUACAGAAGAAGCACCGGCUAACUCCGUG
This 488-nucleotide ribosomal RNA is filed under the name uncultured bacterium. Its description in RNAcentral is "bacterial SSU rRNA". It matches the Rfam family "Bacterial small subunit ribosomal RNA", at positions 30 to 507 of the family's 1533-position model. The record is from RNAcentral.